This 63-nucleotide transfer RNA is filed under the name Brachycladium goliath. RNAcentral describes it as "tRNA-Ile". The record is from RNAcentral. Lineage: Eukaryota; Metazoa; Platyhelminthes; Trematoda; Plagiorchiida; Brachycladiidae.
GCUGAUAGGGCUGCUGAGCAGGCUACUGUGAUAUAGUGGUGGUGAGAUUUAUCUUCGUCGGUA